CAGCCGCCGCGGUAACACGUAGGGUGCAAGCGUUAAUCGGAAUUACUGGGCGUAAAGCGUGCGCAGGCGGUUAUAUAAGUCAGAUGUGAAAUCCCCGGGCUCAACCUGGGAACUGCAUUUGAGACUGUAUGGCUAGAGUGUGUCAGAGGGGGGUAGAAUUCCACGUGUAGCAGUGAAAUGCGUAGAUAUGUGGAGGAAUACCGAUGGCGAAGGCAGCCCCCUGGGAUAACACUGACGCUCAUGCACGAAAGCGUGGGGAGCAAACAGGAUUAGAUACCCCCGUAGUCCCUGUCUCUUAUAC
This 301-nucleotide ribosomal RNA is filed under the name uncultured bacterium. RNAcentral's name for it is "partial 16S ribosomal RNA". It matches the Rfam family "Bacterial small subunit ribosomal RNA", at positions 509 to 807 of the family's 1533-position model. The record is from RNAcentral.